RNAcentral lists this ribosomal RNA (1106 nucleotides) under Salmonella enterica subsp. enterica. RNAcentral describes it as "bacterial SSU rRNA". It matches the Rfam family "Bacterial small subunit ribosomal RNA", at positions 1 to 1102 of the family's 1533-position model. The record is from RNAcentral. Lineage: Bacteria; Pseudomonadati; Pseudomonadota; Gammaproteobacteria; Enterobacterales; Enterobacteriaceae. RNAcentral also lists the same sequence under 1 other name.
AAGAGUUUGAUCAUGGCUCAGAUUGAACGCUGGCGGCAGGCCUAACACAUGCAAGUCGAACGGUAACAGGAAGCAGCUUGCUGCUUCGCUGACGAGUGGCGGACGGGUGAGUAAUGUCUGGGAAACUGCCUGAUGGAGGGGGAUAACUACUGGAAACGGUGGCUAAUACCGCAUAACGUCGCAAGACCAAAGAGGGGGACCUUCGGGCCUCUUGCCAUCAGAUGUGCCCAGAUGGGAUUAGCUUGUUGGUGAGGUAACGGCUCACCAAGGCGACGAUCCCUAGCUGGUCUGAGAGGAUGACCAGCCACACUGGAACUGAGACACGGUCCAGACUCCUACGGGAGGCAGCAGUGGGGAAUAUUGCACAAUGGGCGCAAGCCUGAUGCAGCCAUGCCGCGUGUAUGAAGAAGGCCUUCGGGUUGUAAAGUACUUUCAGCGGGGAGGAAGGUGUUGUGGUUAAUAACCGCAGCAAUUGACGUUACCCGCAGAAGAAGCACCGGCUAACUCCGUGCCAGCAGCCGCGGUAAUACGGAGGGUGCAAGCGUUAAUCGGAAUUACUGGGCGUAAAGCGCACGCAGGCGGUCUGUCAAGUCGGAUGUGAAAUCCCCGGGCUCAACCUGGGAACUGCAUUCGAAACUGGCAGGCUUGAGUCUUGUAGAGGGGGGUAGAAUUCCAGGUGUAGCGGUGAAAUGCGUAGAGAUCUGGAGGAAUACCGGUGGCGAAGGCGGCCCCCUGGACAAAGACUGACGCUCAGGUGCGAAAGCGUGGGGAGCAAACAGGAUUAGAUACCCUGGUAGUCCACGCCGUAAACGAUGUCUACUUGGAGGUUGUGCCCUUGAGGCGUGGCUUCCGGAGCUAACGCGUUAAGUAGACCGCCUGGGGAGUACGGCCGCAAGGUUAAAACUCAAAUGAAUUGACGGGGGCCCGCACAAGCGGUGGAGCAUGUGGUUUAAUUCGAUGCAACGCGAAGAACCUUACCUGGUCUUGACAUCCACGGAAGUUUUCAGAGAUGAGAAUGUGCCUUCGGGAACCGUGAGACAGGUGCUGCAUGGCUGUCGUCAGCUCGUGUUGUGAAAUGUUGGGUUAAGUCCCGCAACGAGCGCAAC